GACGAACGCUGGCGGCGUGCUUAACACAUGCAAGUCGAACGAUGAAGCUGGAGCUUGCUCCGGUGGAUUAGUGGCGAACGGGUGAGUAACACGUGAGCAAUCUGCCCUUCAUUCUGGGAUAACUGCGGGAAACUGUAGCUAAUACCGGAUACGAGACCUUGGGGCAUCCCAGGGUCUGGAAAGAAUUUCGGUGAAGGAUGAGCUCGCGGCCUAUCAGCUAGUUGGUGAGGUAAUGGCUCACCAAGGCGACGACGGGUAGCCGGCCUGAGAGGGUGAGCGGCCACACUGGGACUGAGACACGGCCCAGACUCCUACGGGAGGCAGCAGUGGGGAAUAUUGCACAAUGGGCGAAAGCCUGAUGCAGCAACGCCGCGUGAGGGAUGAAGGCCUUCGGGUUGUAAACCUCUUUUAGUAGGGAAGAAGCGCAAGUGACGGUACCUACAGAAAAAGCACCGGCUAACUACGUGCCAGCCGCCGCAGUAA
RNAcentral lists this ribosomal RNA (483 nucleotides) under uncultured bacterium. RNAcentral's name for it is "partial 16S ribosomal RNA". It matches the Rfam family "Bacterial small subunit ribosomal RNA", at positions 28 to 523 of the family's 1533-position model. The record is from RNAcentral.